UACGGAGGGGGCUAGCGUUGUUCGGAAUUACUGGGCGUAAAGCGCGCGUAGGCGGCUUGGUAAGUGCGGUGUGAAAGCCCCCGGCCUAACCGGGGAACUGCAUCGCAGACUGCCAGGCUCGAGAGCGGGAGGGGAGACUGGAACUCCUGGUGGAGCGGUGAAAUGCGUAGAUAUCAGGAGGAACACCGGUGGUGAAAACGAGUCUCUGGUCCGCUUCUGACGCUCAGGUGCGAAAGCUAGGGGAGCAAACGGG
RNAcentral lists this ribosomal RNA (253 nucleotides) under uncultured bacterium. RNAcentral describes it as "partial 16S ribosomal RNA". It matches the Rfam family "Bacterial small subunit ribosomal RNA", at positions 524 to 776 of the family's 1533-position model. The record is from RNAcentral.